Numida meleagris (helmeted guineafowl) is the source of this 559-nucleotide long non-coding RNA. RefSeq lists it as uncharacterized. Lineage: Eukaryota; Metazoa; Chordata; Aves; Galliformes; Numididae. The transcript is spliced from 6 exons. The record is from RefSeq and is a predicted model, not a curated record.
CACGCGGGGCGAGAUCACGUGGCCGCGGGAGGCGGACCUGUCCGUCCAGCUCGCGCGGCGGCCGUGGGGUCGGAGCCGUUGCGCGCGUGUCGUGAAGGGGGUCCCGCCCGCGGGCGCACGGCAGAUGUUUGAGAAGCAGCAUUACAGGACAUAAAUCACACAGCCACAGCCUGAGAACGAAAGGACUCAAACUGUCAAAUGAAGGAACAAACAGAAUGUGUUAGGGCAGUAGCUGCAAGGAGCCGAAAUGUACAAGUAAUCCACUUGUCAAAUCCUCCUCUCUCGCAAAGGAAACACGAGCUAUGAACCUAGAACUUCUCAGAAAUAAGACUUCUUGUUGAACGGUUGGAGUUGCCACUGUGUGCACUUCAAAGACAAGAAUUUUGCAGCUUACUCGCAGUUAAGUGGCAAUUAAAGAUGUGCUUCAUAACACUGUGUAGAAAUCUGCAAGUUUCCUGUACAGGUCUAUUUGGUUCAACUGAUUCGUCAGCUCCUCUGGUCUUAAGCACCUUCUCAUCUUGGCAAGUUCUCUCUGCUUUUUCUAAGCAAUUAAAUAAAC